GCCGACGUCCAGUCCGCCGUCGAUAACGCCGUCCGCAGGCUGUCCCGUGCGCGGUCGGAGCUGGAGGCCGCGUGCUCGGACGUGGACGCCUUCCUCGCCGUGCCGGCUCCCGCCCACUCCCAGGGAGCCGCCGGGGCGUGCGCCGCCGCGGCUCGCCACGCCCGUAGCGGCGUUGCCAACUUGGACGCCCUCGUCGACAUCCUGCGCGUGCUUGAGGACGAGCUCGAGGACGAACCCCCGACCGCCCGCGUCAUGCACUUCUUCGGCUACGUCCUGCCGCCACCGCCCAUCGACGCCGGAGCCGGAGCCGGAGCAGGUUAAUUAAUUAAUCAAUUCGCUUAUCCCCUCGACCAAGACCAAUUGGUGCUUGAAUCAUUAUAUUUUGUGUCCAUUUUUGUUUGUUUUGCCUUGCUCACAUGCCGAACCAAAGAUCGAUCGGUGUUUGAACCAUACUAUUUUGUGUUGCUCAUGCUUGAGUCGAUUUCCAGCAGGAGGCGCAGAAGCAGCCGGAGAUGACGCCGACGCCGACGCCGGCAGACAUUGAUCCAUCCAUCGCCUUCCCAAUGCUUGGCCUUUCUCCUGCACCAUGCUCCAUGCAUAUCGAUCGAUUCGAUUGAUCCCCCCAUAUCUACAGAUUGAACUCAAGUCUUGGUGAGGUAGAUAAUAAUUAAUUGCUGCUAUGUGAGAGAGAACUUAAUCAGAUCGAUCGUAACCUGAUAUGAUUUGAUCUGUUCAACUGUUGUGUUUGAUCGUCAUCUUCAGUUGGAUAAAAUUUUAUGUGACAAGAACCCACACAUGCAUUGC
This 804-nucleotide long non-coding RNA is filed under the name Hordeum vulgare. RNAcentral's name for it is "long non-coding RNA (HVUL_LNC017175)". The record is from RNAcentral. Lineage: Eukaryota; Viridiplantae; Streptophyta; Magnoliopsida; Poales; Poaceae.